UAAACAUUGAUACAUUAUUACAUUUUCAAUCCGCCCGGGUACUACAAGCACCAGCUUAAAACCCAAAGGACUUGGCGGUGCUUAAGAUCCCCCUAGAGGAGCCUGUUCUAGAACCGAUAAUCCACGUUUAACCUCACCCUCCCUUGUUUUUCCCGUCUAUAUACCGCCGUCGUCAGCUUACCCUGUGAAGGUCUAAUAGUGAGCAAAAAUGGCACAGCCCAGAACGUCAGGUCGAGGUGUAGCGCAUGAGAGGGGAAGAAAUUGGCUACAUUCUCUAAAAAUAGAAGCAUACGGACAAUAUAUUGAAACAUAUAUUUUAAGGAGGAUUUAGCAGUAAGUAGAAAUUAGUAUAUUCUACUGAAUUCGGCCCUAAAGCACGC
Molecule: ribosomal RNA, 380 nt
Filed under: Betta hipposideros
Lineage: Eukaryota; Metazoa; Chordata; Actinopteri; Anabantiformes; Osphronemidae
Description: partial 12S ribosomal RNA
Rfam family: Bacterial small subunit ribosomal RNA
Source: RNAcentral